RNAcentral lists this ribosomal RNA (258 nucleotides) under uncultured bacterium. Its description in RNAcentral is "partial 16S ribosomal RNA". It matches the Rfam family "Bacterial small subunit ribosomal RNA", at positions 524 to 776 of the family's 1533-position model. The record is from RNAcentral.
UACGUAGGUGGCAAGCGUUGUCCGGAUUUACUGGGCGUAAAGGAUGCGUAGGCGGACAUUUAAGUCAGAUGUGAAAAUACCCCGAGCUUAACUUGGGGUGCUGCAUUUUGAAAACUGGGUGUCUAGAGUGCAGGAGAGGUAAGUGGAAUUCCUAGUGUAGCGGUGAAAUGCGUAGAGAUUAGGAAGAACACCAGUGGCGAAGGCGACUUACUGGACUGUAACUGACGCUGAGGCAUGAAAGCGUGGGGAGCAAACAGG